UUUUCAUUGCCAACCCUGACUUGGCUUUGAGAUUUAAGCUCAAUGCACCAUUAAACAAGUAUGUUAGGAAGACUUUCUAUACACAACAUCCUGUUGUUGGCUACACAGAUUACCCAUUUCUCAACGCUAAAACUGCUCAAAAUAAUAUUCCUCUUUCUCGCCUUUGAUUGGACUCUUUUCACCAAAAAAAAAAUUGCUUGAUUGAAGUAUUAUUGAAAGAGUUGAG
RNAcentral lists this unclassified non-coding RNA (226 nucleotides) under Hevea brasiliensis (rubber tree). The record is from RNAcentral. Lineage: Eukaryota; Viridiplantae; Streptophyta; Magnoliopsida; Malpighiales; Euphorbiaceae.